CCUACGGGAGGCAGCAGUGAGGAAUAUUGGUCAAUGGACGCAAGUCUGAACCAGCCAUGCCGCGUGCAGGAAGACGGCCCUAUGAGUUGUAAACUGCUUUUGUACGAGGGUAAACGCAGAUACGCGUAUCUGUCUGAAAGUAUCGUACGAAUAAGGAUCGGCUAACUCCGUGCCAGCAGCCGCGGUAAUACGGAGGAUUCAAGCGUUAUCCGGAUUUAUUGGGUUUAAAGGGUGCGUAGGCGGUCGGAUAAGUUAGAGGUGAAAUCCCGAGGCUCAACGUCGGAAUUGCCUCUGAUACUGUUCGGCUAGAGAGUAAUUGCGGUAGGCGGAAUGUAUGGUGUAGCGGUGAAAUGCUUAGAGAUCAUACAGAACACCGAUUGCGAAGGCAGCUUACCAAGCUACUUCUGACGUUGAGGCACGAAAGCGUGGGGAGCGAACAGGAUUAGAUACCCCGGUAGUC
Molecule: ribosomal RNA, 460 nt
Filed under: uncultured bacterium
Lineage: Bacteria
Description: partial 16S ribosomal RNA
Rfam family: Bacterial small subunit ribosomal RNA
Source: RNAcentral